RNAcentral lists this ribosomal RNA (497 nucleotides) under uncultured bacterium. Its description in RNAcentral is "partial 16S ribosomal RNA". It matches the Rfam family "Bacterial small subunit ribosomal RNA", at positions 28 to 507 of the family's 1533-position model. The record is from RNAcentral.
GAUGAACGCUGGCGGCGUGCCUAAUACAUGCAAGUCGAGCGAACAGACGAGGAGCUUGCUCCUCUGACGUUAGCGGCGGACGGGUGAAUAACACGUGGAUAACCUACCUAUAUUACUGGUAUAACUUCGGAAAAGCGGAGCUAAUACCGGAGAAUAUAUUGAACCGCGUGGGUCAUUAGUAAAAGACGGUUUUGCUGUCACUUAUAGAUGGUUCCGGGCCGCAUUAGGUGGUUGGUGAGGUAACGGCUUAUCACGGCGACGAUGCGUAGCCGAACUGAUAGGGUGGUAGGCCACACGGGAGCUGAGACGGGGUCAUGACGCCUGAGAGAGGGCGCAGUCGGGAAUGGGACGCAGUGGGCGGAAGCCUGACACAGUGACGCCGCGUGAGUGAUGGAGACGUUCGGUGCGGGAAACUCUGUUUCUAGGGAAGAACCACUGUGGAAGUAAACAUGGAGUGCUUGACGGUAACUGGUCAGGAAGCACCGGCUAACUACGUG